Molecule: ribosomal RNA, 301 nt
Filed under: uncultured bacterium
Lineage: Bacteria
Description: partial 16S ribosomal RNA
Rfam family: Bacterial small subunit ribosomal RNA
Source: RNAcentral
CAGUCGCCGCGGGAAUACGUAGGUGGCAAGCGUUGUCCGGAAUUAUUGGGCGUAAAGCGCGCGCAGGUGGUUUAAUAAGUCUGAUGCGAAAGCCCACGGCUCAACCGUGGAGGGUCAUUGGAAACUGUUAAACUUGAGUGCAGGAGAGAAAAGUGGAAUUCCUAGUGUAGCGGUGAAAUGCGUAGAGAUUAGGAGGAACACCAGUGGCGAAGGCGGCUUUUUGGCCUGUAACUGACACUGAGGCGCGAAAGCGUGGGGAGCAAACAGGAUUAGAGACCCGAGUAGUCCCUGUCUCUUAUAA